RNAcentral lists this ribosomal RNA (433 nucleotides) under uncultured bacterium. RNAcentral describes it as "partial 16S ribosomal RNA". It matches the Rfam family "Bacterial small subunit ribosomal RNA", at positions 29 to 507 of the family's 1533-position model. The record is from RNAcentral.
AACGAACGCUGGCGGCAUGCCUAACACAUGCAAGUCGAACGAUACCUUCGGGUCUAGUGGCGCACGGGUGCGUAACGCGUGGGAACCUGCCCUUAGGUUCGGAAUAACUCCCCGAAAGGGGUGCUCAUACCGGAUAAUGUCUUCGGACCAAAGAUUUAUCGCCUUUGGAUGGGCCCGCGUUGGUUUAGCUAGUUGGUAGGGUAAAAGCCUGCCAAGGCGACGAUCCAUAGCUGGUCUGAGAGGAUGAUAAGCCACACUGGGACUGAGACACGGCCCAGACUCCUACGGGAGGCAGCAGUGGGGAAUAUUGGACAAUGGGCGAAAGCCUGAUCCAGCAAUGCCGCGUGAGUGAUGAAGGCCUUAGGGUUGUAAAGCUCUUUUACCCGGGAUGAUAAUGACAGUACCGGGAGAAUAAGCUCCGGCUAACUCCGUG